This 1652-nucleotide long non-coding RNA is filed under the name Anthonomus grandis grandis. RNAcentral describes it as "uncharacterized LOC126737341". Lineage: Eukaryota; Metazoa; Arthropoda; Insecta; Coleoptera; Curculionidae. The record is from RNAcentral.
UGUCACUAUGGGAUUGAACCCUCUCAUACUUUUAAUUACUCUAUGCUCUUACCUAACCCAAUUCACACUGUCAACGUCAAGACAAAAUUAAACGUAAAUAUUGAAAAUUUAAGGGUAUUGAAAUAUGGAAAAAUUACUGGUACUUCGCUCGAAAGGUAUGGCACGACCUUACUGCGACGAAUGUAAAUCCUUGGUGGACCUGGAAUCUUUUUAUACCCAUCGCAGGAAUUUGGGUGCCGACGACUCACGGACAUCCUCGGAACCAAUCGUUGAAUAAAAAUGCAAUUGGGAAAACUUCAUGAAAAUAGAGUUUUUCUUCAUGAAAACGAUACGGAUUUAUAGGCUAUGACCUUAUAUGGUGAAAACAGCGGGACAAAAACUGGCCACAUGUGUACAAGAAAUCCGGCUUUUCAGGAAAACCGCGGGAAACUUAAUCAUGAUUUAUAUUAUAUUUUGCCACACCGGGCAUGCCCCUUCAUUUAACAGGGCUUCCCAAGUUUCAGGCAUUUGUAGUUCUUUAUUAUCCUAAGAAUAACCAGGGCUGAAAACAAGAAGGCCAGAGACUACAACAUAGUCAACGGAGAACUAGGCAUAACCUAUAAGAAAUCAAACCUUUCCAGGAUACUAUCAGGCUAGAAACCUCUUUAAGUUGGUUUCUUUAUGUAUGUUCACAAUUAUAAACCCCUCAUGACUCACAGGUAAAGCUUAAAAUGUAUCUUUUUGUUAUGUAAAUUAUAAAUUUAGAGGUUAAAAUGUUAACGGAGCAAAAUUAUCUAAGUUGUCUUAUAAAAGACUGCCUGGGCUUACCCUUAUUACUAUAAAAUAAAGACAAAAUCUUGUAACUUCGUUACAAUAGUUAUAUCAUACUUCUGACAUCUGUCAACAUCUGACCGUUAAAUAUGAAGCAUUUUUACUGUUUUACUCAAAAAGAUUAUAUAAUUUUUAUGUAAAUCAUUAUUAUUAUACAAACGAAUAUGCGGCCAAUAUUAUGUUUAUUGUCAAUAAUGUAAUGAUAUUAACAACGCCGACAAUAACAGCUAUUCUUCGUCAUUUCAAUGAUGAUACAAGCGGCAUACAGUAUGACAUCUCUGGAGACGCAUAAGAGAUAAGGGAAUUCUCCGGAUAGUGGUUUGCAUCAGAGUAUAUAAGUUGCCGUGUGGCCGCUGAGAGGCCAGUUGAUAAUUCAUUUUGGAUUAUUGGCGCACUAUUUAAAUCGGACAUAGGUAGUAGUCGGACAAAUAGUUUUAGUAGUCCUAAGUGUUGGUGUUUAGUAGUGUAGGUGUGGAAAUAAAUUAGCUGACUAUUUUUGUGCAUCCAGUACUUUAAUGGACAUCUUAACGAACGGUAAAAACGCAACAAUAAUUUCUUCGAAAAUAUUUCAACAUUUAUAAUUAUUAUAAUACACCAUGAAAAUGACAAAUGUUAUAUCCAGUUUUUUUUAAAUUAUUAUAAUUUGUAUCAUGGUAAUGUAACAUGAAGGCACUAAAAAUUAAAAAAAAAUAACAAGCAGAUUGAAACUAAAAAACAAUUUUAUAUUUGAGAUUGUAUUAUUGUAUUGCUUUGUAACUUUCUCUGUGCAAAAAAAUAUUACAUACCAGUGCCUUGAAAUAUUACAAAUCGAUUUAAUUUAUGACAAAUAUUUACUUUUGAUC